RNAcentral lists this ribosomal RNA (403 nucleotides) under Nematoda sp. MM00708. RNAcentral describes it as "SSU rRNA". It matches the Rfam family "Eukaryotic small subunit ribosomal RNA", at positions 592 to 998 of the family's 1831-position model. RNAcentral also lists the same sequence under 1 other name. The record is from RNAcentral. Lineage: Eukaryota; Metazoa; Nematoda.
CAAAAGCGUAUAUUAAAGUUGUUGCGGUUAAAAAGCUCGUAGUUGGAUCUGCGCCCAUUGGUUGGCGGUCCCCUAAAGGGUGGUACUGCCGUACCAGGGCUUUCUUUCUGGUUUUCCCUUGGUGCUCUUCACCGAGUGCUCUGGGUGACUGGAACGUUUACUUUGAAAAAAUUAGAGUGCUCAAAGCAGGCAAUCUGCCUGAAUAGUGGUGCAUGGAAUAAUAGAAUAGGACUUCGGUUCUAUUUUGUUGGUUUUCGGAACUCGAAGUAAUGAUUAAGAGGGACAGACGGGGGCAUUCGUAUUGCGGCGUUAGAGGUGAAAUUCUUGGAUCGUCGCAAGACGUACUACAGCGAAAGCAUUUGCCAAGAAUGUUUUCAUUAAUCAAGAACGAAAGUUAGAGGUU